Molecule: ribosomal RNA, 520 nt
Filed under: uncultured Glomus
Lineage: Eukaryota; Fungi; Glomeromycota; Glomeromycetes; Glomerales; Glomeraceae
Description: SSU rRNA
Rfam family: Eukaryotic small subunit ribosomal RNA
Source: RNAcentral
AGCAGCCGCGGUAAUUCCAGCUCCAAUAGCGUAUAUUAAAGUUGUUGCAGUUAAAAAGCUCGUAGUUGAAUUUCGAGACCGGUUUAUUGGUCGUGCUAUUGUACGUACUGGUGUAAUCGGUUUCUACCUUCUGACGAACCAUAAUGCCAUUAAUUUGGUGUUAUGGGAAAUCAGGACUGUUACUUUGAAAAAAUUAGAGUGUUUAAAGCAGGCUCACGCUUGAAUACAUUAGCAUGGAAUAACGGAAUAGGACGUUUGAUUCUAUUUUGUUGGUUUCUAGGAUCGACGUAAUGAUUAAUAGGGAUAGUUGGGGGCAUUAGUAUUCAAUUGUCAGAGGUGAAAUUCUUGGAUUUAUUGAAGACUAACUACUGCGAAAGCAUUUGCCAAGGAUGUUUUCAUUAAUCAAGAACGAAGUUAGGGGAUCGAAGACGAUCAGAUACCGUCGUAGUCUUAACCAUAAACUAUGCCGACUAGGGAUCGGAUGAUGUUAAUUUUUUAAUGUACUCAUUCGGCGCCUUAC